AAGAUUUCCCAACCACUCUGGAAGAGCCUCCAUGCCGUCGAAGGAGUUUAUUAUUAAAUGUGUUAAAGAAGUGAAGCGUUGAACUUGUUCAGGCAAACAGUUGAGCUUCGGCCAACCCAACAAGCUUAAUAUUUCAAGUUGUGGAAUAACCUGAAAAGCAGGGAAGGAAUCGAGCUCCUUCCAGAACCCACCAAUCCCCAAAUUCUUUAAGUUGGUGAGGGAUGCUGCAAACACACUAGGGGGUACGCUUUUUAAUCCCUCACAGUUAUAGAUCUCCAACUCACGGAGUUGUAUGAGGCUGUCUAAACUUGGAAAAGCUUCGAGAUUCCUGCAAUUCCUUAUUAACAAGUGCUCAAGAGAGGUACAAUGUUGUAACCCACUCGGUAGGCUUGAUAAUUUAUCACAAUCUGAAAUCUUUAAUUGGCAGAGAGAUGGGAGGCCGUUUGUGAUUGGAAUAGCUUCGAGUUUCCAAGCAAUUGCUUAUUGACAAGUGCUCAAGAGAGGUACAAUGUUGUAACCC
RNAcentral lists this long non-coding RNA (520 nucleotides) under Prunus persica (peach). Its description in RNAcentral is "long non-coding RNA (PPER_LNC006613)". Lineage: Eukaryota; Viridiplantae; Streptophyta; Magnoliopsida; Rosales; Rosaceae. The record is from RNAcentral.